This 245-nucleotide ribosomal RNA is filed under the name uncultured Actinomycetales bacterium. RNAcentral's name for it is "partial 16S ribosomal RNA". It matches the Rfam family "Bacterial small subunit ribosomal RNA", at positions 88 to 334 of the family's 1533-position model. The record is from RNAcentral. Lineage: Bacteria; Bacillati; Actinomycetota; Actinomycetes; Actinomycetales.
UACUCGAGUGGCGAACGGGUGAGUAACACGUGAGUAACCUGCCCUUGACUUCGGGAUAACUUCAGGAAACUGGGGCUAAUACCGGAUAGGAAUCCUUGCUGCAUGGUGGGGGUUGGGAAAGCUUCGGCGGUUUGGAUGGACUCGCGGCUUAUCAGCUUGUUGGUGGGGUAGUGGCUUACCAAGGCUUUGACGGGUAGCCGGCCUGAGAGGGCGACCGGCCACAUUGGGACUGAGAUACGGCCCAG